This 838-nucleotide ribosomal RNA is filed under the name Enterococcus durans. RNAcentral describes it as "bacterial SSU rRNA". It matches the Rfam family "Bacterial small subunit ribosomal RNA", at positions 70 to 878 of the family's 1533-position model. Lineage: Bacteria; Bacillati; Bacillota; Bacilli; Lactobacillales; Enterococcaceae. The record is from RNAcentral.
UCUUUUUCCACCGGAGACUUGCUCCACCGGAAAAAGANGAGUGGCGAACGGGUGAGUAACACGUGGGUAACCUGCCCAUCAGAAGGGGAUAACACUUGGAAACAGGUGCUAAUACCGUAUAACAAUCNAAACCGCAUGGUUUUGAUUUGAAAGGCGCUUUCGGGUGUCGCUGAUGGAUGGACCCGCGGUGCAUUAGCUAGUUGGUGAGGUAACGGCUCACCAAGGCCACGAUGCAUAGCCGACCUGAGAGGGUGAUCGGCCACAUUGGGACUGAGACACGGCCCAAACUCCUACGGGAGGCAGCAGUAGGGAAUCUUCGGCAAUGGACGAAAGUCUGACCGAGCAACGCCGCGUGAGUGAAGAAGGUUUUCGGAUCGUAAAACUCUGUUGUUAGAGAAGAACAAGGAUGAGAGUAACUGUUCAUCCCUUGACGGUAUCUAACCAGAAAGCCACGGCUAACUACGUGCCAGCAGCCGCGGUAAUACGUAGGUGGCAAGCGUUGUCCGGAUUUAUUGGGCGUAAAGCGAGCGCAGGCGGUUUCUUAAGUCUGAUGUGAAAGCCCCCGGCUCAACCGGGGAGGGUCAUUGGAAACUGGGAGACUUGAGUGCAGAAGAGGAGAGUGGAAUUCCAUGUGUAGCGGUGAAAUGCGUAGAUAUAUGGAGGAACACCAGUGGCGAAGGCGGCUCUCUGGUCUGUAACUGACGCUGAGGCUCGAAAGCGUGGGGAGCAAACAGGAUUAGAUACCCUGGUAGUCCACGCCGUAAACGAUGAGUGCUAAGUGUUGGAGGGUUUCCGCCCUUCAGUGCUGCAGCUAACGCAUUAAGCACUCCGCCUGGGG